Molecule: ribosomal RNA, 2622 nt
Filed under: Clostridioides difficile
Lineage: Bacteria; Bacillati; Bacillota; Clostridia; Peptostreptococcales; Peptostreptococcaceae
Description: 23S ribosomal RNA
Rfam family: Bacterial large subunit ribosomal RNA
Source: RNAcentral
UAAAGUUUUCUUUAUUGGGGUUGCGGACAUAUCAUAACGAAGAGGUAUCGUAAUUGAAGAGGUUUGGAAAGACCCACCACAGAAGGUAAUAGUCCUGUAUGUUAAACGAGAAGACUUCAGAUAUGAUCCAGAGUACCACGGGACACGUGAAACCCUGUGGGAAGCAGGAGGGACCACCCUCCAAGGCUAAAUACUACCUAGUGACCGAUAGCGUAUAGUACCGUGAGGGAAAGGUGAAAAGAACCCCGGGAGGGGAGUGAAAUAGAACCUGAAACCCUGCACUUACAAGCUGUGGAAGCACAUUUCUUGUGUGACCGCGUACUUUUUGUAGAACGGGCCAACGAGUUACGUUAAGUAGCAAGGUUAAGCACUUAAGGUGCGGAGCCGUAGCGAAAGCGAGUUUUAACUGAGCGUUCAGUUACUUGACGUAGACCCGAAACCGGGCGACCUACCCAUGAGCAGGAUGAAGCGAAAGUAAAAUUUCGUGGAGGUCCGAACCCACGAGCGUUGAAAAGCUCGGGGAUGACUUGUGGGUAGCGGUGAAAUUCCAAUCGAGCCCGGAGAUAGCUGGUUCUCCCCGAAAUAGCUUUAGGGCUAGCCUCAAGGUGAGAGAUACGGAGGUAGAGCACUGAAUGUCCUAGGGGGUAUUGCACCUACCGAAGACUAUCAAACUCCGAAUGCCGUCAUCUUAUACUUGGGAGUCAGACUGUGGGUGAUAAGAUUCAUAGUCGAAAGGGCAACAGCCCAGAUCGUCAGCUAAGGUCCCUAAAUGUAAGUUAAGUGGUAAAGGAUGUGGGAUUGCACAGACAACCAGGAUGUUGGCUUAGAAGCAGCCACUCAUUCAAAGAGUGCGUAAUAGCUCACUGGUCGAGUGAUCCUGCGCCGAAGAUUUCCGGGGCUAAAACUUACUACCGAAGCUACGGCAUCAGUAAUGAUGGGUAGGGGAGCUUCCCAUACGGGUUGAAGCAUGACCGUAAGGACAUGUGGACAGUAUGGGAGUGAGAAUGUUGGCAUGAGUAGCGAGAUGUGGGUGAGAAUCCCACAGGCCGUAAACCCAAGGUUUCCAGGGGAAGGUUCGUCCGCCCUGGGUUAGUCGGGACCUAAGCUGAGGCCGAAAGGCGUAGGUGAUGGACAACAGGUUGAUAUUCCUGUACUACCGAUAACCGUUUGAGAGAAGGGAUGACACAGUAGGAUAAGCUAAGCACACUGUUGGUUAUGUGUGCCCAAGCAUUGAGGCAGUCAAAGUAGGCAAAUCCGCUUUGAUAAUGCUGGGAUGUGAUGGGGAGCGAAAUUUAGUAGCGAAGUAGCUGAUUUCACACUGUCAAGAAAAGUCUCUAUCGAGGUUAAAGGUACCCGUACCGCAAACCGACACAGGUGGGUGAGGAGAGUAUCCUAAGGCCAGCGAGAGAACUGUUGUUAAGGAACUCGGCAAAAUGACCCCGUAACUUAGGGAUAAGGGGUGCCACCAUCAGGUGGCCGCAGAGAAUAGGCCCAAGCGACUGUUUACCAAAAACAUAGGUUUCUGCUAAGUCGCAAGACGAUGUAUAGGAGCUGACGCCUGCCCGGUGCUGGAAGGUUAAGGGGAUCUGUUAGAGCAAUCGAAGCAGUGAACUUAAGCCCCAGUAAACGGCGGCCGUAACUAUAACGGUCCUAAGGUAGCGAAAUUCCUUGUCGGGUAAGUUCCGACCCGCACGAAAGGCGUAACGAUUUGGGCACUGUCUCAACAACAGACUCGGUGAAAUUGUAAUUCCGGUGAAGAUGCCGGAUACCUGCGACAGGACGGAAAGACCCCAUGGAGCUUUACUGUAGCUUGACAUUGGGUCUUGGUACUACAUGUACAGGAUAGGUGGGAGGCUUUGAAACCAGGACGCCAGUUUUGGCGGAGCCAUCCUUGGGAUACCACCCUUGUAGUACUGGGACUCUAACCAUAGGCCAUGAAUCUGGUCUUGGGACACUGUCAGGUGGGCAGUUUGACUGGGGCGGUCGCCUCCCAAAAGGUAACGGAGGCGCUCAAAGGUUCUCUCAGUACGGUCGGAAAUCGUACGUAGAGUGUAAAGGCAAAAGAGAGCUUGAUUGCAAGACAUACAGGUCGAGCAAGGAUGAAAAUCGGACUUAGUGAUCCGGUGGUUCUGCGUGGAAGGGCCAUCGCUCAACGGAUAAAAGCUACCCUGGGGAUAACAGGCUUAUCUCCCCCAAGAGUCCACAUCGACGGGGAGGUUUGGCACCUCGAUGUCGGCUCAUCACAUCCUGGGGCUGUAGUAGGUCCCAAGGGUUGGGCUGUUCGCCCAUUAAAGUGGUACGCGAGCUGGGUUCAGAACGUCGUGAGACAGUUCGGUCCCUAUCCGUCGCAGGCGUAGGAAAUUUGAGAAGACCUGUCCUUAGUACGAGAGGACCGGGAUGGACGUACCUCUGGUGUACCAGUUGUCCUGCCAAGGGCAUGGCUGGGUAGCUAUGUACGGAAUGGAUAAGCGCUGAAAGCAUCUAAGCGCGAAGCCAACUUCAAGAUAAGAUUUCCCACCGCAAGGGUAAGACCCCAGAAAGACUAUCUGGUUGAUAGGUCGAAGGUGUAAGUGCAGCAAUGUAUUUAGCUUAUCGAUACUAAUAGGUCGAGGACUUGACCAA